UCCAACCUGCCGAUAACUCGGGGAUAGCCUUUCGAAAGAAAGAUUAAUACCCGAUGGCAUAAUAGAACCGCAUGGUUUGAUUAUUAAAGAAUUUCGGUUAUCGAUGGGGAUGCGUUCCAUUAGGCAGUUGGUGGGGUAACGGCCCACCAAACCUUCGAUGGAUAGGGGUUCUGAGAGGAAGGUCCCCCACAUUGGAACUGAGACACGGUCCAAACUCCUACGGGAGGCAGCAGUGAGGAAUAUUGGUCAAUGGACGAGAGUCUGAACCAGCCAAGUAGCGUGAAGGAUGACUGCCCUAUGGGUUGUAAACUUCUUUUAUAUGGGAAUAAAGUGGUCCACGUGUGGAUUUUUGUAUGUACCAUAUGAAUAAGGAUCGGCUAACUCCGUGCCAGCAGCCGCGGUAAUACGGAGGAUCCGAGCGUUAUCCGGAUUUAUUGGGUUUAAAGGGAGCGUAGGUGGACAGUUAAGUCAGUUGUGAAAGUUUGCGGCUCAACCGUAAAAUUGCAGUUGAUACUGGCUGUCUUAAGUACAGUAGAGGUGGGCGGAAUUCGUGGUGUAGCGGUGAAAUGCUUAGAUAUCACGAAGAACUCCGAUUGCGAAGGCAGCUCACUGGACUGCAACUGACACUGAUGCUCGAAAGUGUGGGUAUCAAACAGGAUUAGAUACCCUGGUAGUCCACACAGUAAACGAUGAAUACUCGCUGUUUGCGAUAUACAGUAAGCGGCCAAGCGAAAGCAUUAAGUAUUCCACCUGGGGAGUAC
This 761-nucleotide ribosomal RNA is filed under the name uncultured bacterium. Its description in RNAcentral is "bacterial SSU rRNA". It matches the Rfam family "Bacterial small subunit ribosomal RNA", at positions 120 to 883 of the family's 1533-position model. The record is from RNAcentral.